UCUACGGGGGGCAGCAGUGGGGAAUAUUGCACAAUGGGGGAAACUCUGAUGCAGCAACGCCGCGUGAAGGAAGACGGUCUUCGGAUUGUAAACUUCCGUUCUUAGUGAAGAAGAAUGACGGUAGCUAAGGAGCAAGCCACGGCUAACUACGUGCCAGCAGCCGCGGUAAGACGUAGGUGGCAAGCGUUGUCCGGAAUUACUGGGUGUAAAGGGGGCGCAGGCGGGAAGCCAAGUCAGCUGUGAAAACUACGGGCUUAACUUGUAGACUGCAGUUGAAAAUGGUUUUCUUGAGUGAAGUAGGGGUUGGCGGAAUUCCGGGUGUAGCGGUGAAAUGCGUAGAUAUUCGGAGGAACACCGGUGGCGAAGGCGGCCGACUGGGCUUUAACUGACGCUGAGGCUCGAAAGUGUGGGGAGCAAACAGGAUUAGAUACCCUGGUAGUC
Molecule: ribosomal RNA, 441 nt
Filed under: uncultured bacterium
Lineage: Bacteria
Description: partial 16S ribosomal RNA
Rfam family: Bacterial small subunit ribosomal RNA
Source: RNAcentral